This 273-nucleotide ribosomal RNA is filed under the name uncultured bacterium. Its description in RNAcentral is "partial 16S ribosomal RNA". It matches the Rfam family "Bacterial small subunit ribosomal RNA", at positions 524 to 796 of the family's 1533-position model. The record is from RNAcentral.
UACAGAGGGUGCAAGCGUUAAUCGGAAUUACUGGGCGUAAAGCGUGCGUAGUCGGUUAUUCAAGUCGGGCGUGAAAGCCCCGGGCUCAACCUGGGAAUUGCGUCCGAUACUGUUUAGCUAGAGUUCGGCAGAGGGAAGUGGAAUUUCUGGUGUAGCGGUGAAAUGCGUAGAUAUCAGAAGGAACAUCAGUGGCGAAAGCGACUUCCUGGACCAGAACUGACGAUCAGGCACGAAAGCGUGGGGAGCAAACAGGAUUAGAAACCCCGGUAGUCC